RNAcentral lists this long non-coding RNA (221 nucleotides) under Mytilus galloprovincialis (Mediterranean mussel). Lineage: Eukaryota; Metazoa; Mollusca; Bivalvia; Mytilida; Mytilidae. The record is from RNAcentral.
GUUGGUAUUAAUGCUAUUCCCUUGAUUUCUCUUAUAAUUCCUAAAGAUCUUUUGGCUUUCUUUACUGUAGAUUCUAUGUGACUAUUGAAAUUUAGUUGUUCAUCUAAUUUUAAUCCAAGUAUAACUGGAUUAGGGUUGUAUUUUAGAAUUGUGUUUCCAAGCUUUAGUUUGAUAUUUUGGACUUUAUUUUUUUCUUUACUGAAAAUACUGUACUCUGUUUU